This 227-nucleotide long non-coding RNA is filed under the name Elaeis guineensis (African oil palm). RNAcentral describes it as "long non-coding RNA (EGUI_LNC024577)". The record is from RNAcentral. Lineage: Eukaryota; Viridiplantae; Streptophyta; Magnoliopsida; Arecales; Arecaceae.
UGGUAUGAAUUCACAAAUCAUUUAUAAUGAAUCCUAACGAUCUCCUUGCCACUUCAUUAGGACCUUGAGGCAACCAUCUAACUUCAUUAGAUAUUUGAAUACUACCUUCGUUAAGAAGCUGUGCAAUCUAUUUACAUAUGAGAAAUAUUAUUAUAAGGAUUAAAUUAUAAUUACAAAUCUCAGUAAAGAGAGAAAUGUCCAUUAGAUUUUAUCUAACUUGAUACAAU